RNAcentral lists this ribosomal RNA (324 nucleotides) under Triticum aestivum (bread wheat). RNAcentral's name for it is "partial small subunit ribosomal RNA". Lineage: Eukaryota; Viridiplantae; Streptophyta; Magnoliopsida; Poales; Poaceae. The record is from RNAcentral.
AUGGCUCGACACAUGGCGCCGCACACGUUGGGGGCCCUGAUGGGUAGGCCAGCACCCUUCAGCAACGGUGGCACACGAUCUGGCUCUGGAUACCUGCAAUCGAAGCAGAUAAGAAAGAGGAGCAACGGCGUAACGGGCAAGGCAUUCGAGGUUGCGUCAACACAGUACCAGCAAUCAACGAAAUCUACCAAAACUAAAUCUGAUCGUCUGUCCGACCAACGACCCGACAUCGCUGGCCAUACCCCACGGCCAACACUAUACAAAAACUAUCAGCACACAUGCAGCAGGCAAAAACAAAAUCCAAGAGGGCAUGCAAUCAAUUAA